RNAcentral lists this ribosomal RNA (249 nucleotides) under uncultured bacterium. Its description in RNAcentral is "partial 16S ribosomal RNA". It matches the Rfam family "Bacterial small subunit ribosomal RNA", at positions 15 to 253 of the family's 1533-position model. The record is from RNAcentral.
GAUCCUGGCUCAGGAUGAACGCUAGCUACAGGCUUAACACAUGCAAGUCGAGGGGAAACGAUAUUGGAAGCUUGCUUCCGAUAGGCGUCGACCGGCGCACGGGUGAGUAACGCGUAUCCAACCUGCCCACCACUUGGGGAUAACCUUGCGAAAGUAAGACUAAUACCCAAUGAUAUCUCUAGAAGACAUCUGAAAGAGAUUAAAGAUUUACCGGUGUAAGAUGGGGAUGCGUUCCAUUAGAUAGUAGGG